RNAcentral lists this ribosomal RNA (490 nucleotides) under uncultured bacterium. RNAcentral's name for it is "partial 16S ribosomal RNA". It matches the Rfam family "Bacterial small subunit ribosomal RNA", at positions 30 to 507 of the family's 1533-position model. The record is from RNAcentral.
AUUGAACGCUGGCGGCAGGCCUAACACAUGCAAGUCGAACGGUAACAGGAAGCAGCUUGCUGCUUCGCUGACGAGUGGCGGACGGGUGAGUAAUGUCUGGGAAGCUGCCUGAUGGAGGGGGAUAACUACUGGAAACGGUAGCUAAUACCGCAUAAUGUCGCAAGACCAAAGAGGGGGACCUUCGGGCCUCUUGCCAUCGGAUGUGCCCGGAUGGGAUUAGCUUGUUGGUGGGGUAACGGCUCACCAAGGCGACGAUCCCUAGCUGGUCUGAGAGGAUGACCAGCCACACUGGAACUGAGACACGGUCCAGACUCCUACGGGAGGCAGCAGUGGGGAAUAUUGCACAAUGGGCGCAAGCCUGAUGCAGCCAUGCCGCGUGUAUGAAGAAGGCCUUCGGGUUGUAAAGUACUUUCAGCGGGGAGGAAGGGAGUAAAGUUAAUACCUUUGCUCAUUGACGUUACCCGCAGAAGAAGCACCGGCUAACUCUGUG